Molecule: ribosomal RNA, 304 nt
Filed under: uncultured bacterium
Lineage: Bacteria
Description: partial 16S ribosomal RNA
Rfam family: Bacterial small subunit ribosomal RNA
Source: RNAcentral
CAGCAGUAGCCACGGGAAUACGAAGGGUGCAAGCGUUAAUCGGAAUUACUGGGCGUAAAGCGUGCGUAGGCGGUUUGUUAAGUCUGUUGUGAAAUCCCCGGGCUCAACCUGGGAAUGGCAAUGGAUACUGGCAAGCUAGAGUGUGUCAGAGGAUGGUGGAAUUCCCGGUGUAGCGGUGAAAUGCGUAGAGAUCGGGAGGAACAUCAGUGGCGAAGGCGGCCAUCUGGGACAACACUGACGCUGAGGCAUGAAAGCGUGGGGAGCAAACAGGAUUAGAUACCCCGGUAGUCCCUGUCUCUUAUAC